Molecule: ribosomal RNA, 253 nt
Filed under: uncultured bacterium
Lineage: Bacteria
Description: partial 16S ribosomal RNA
Rfam family: Bacterial small subunit ribosomal RNA
Source: RNAcentral
UACGUAGGAUGCAAGCGUUGUCCGGAUUUAUUGGGUUAAAAGGGUGCGUAGGCGGCAUAUUAAGUUAGUGGUGAAAACGUUCGGCUUAACCGGUUACCCGCCAUUGAUACUGAUAGACUUGAGUGCGACAGAGGGUGUUGGAAUGUGUGGUGUAGCGGUGAAAUGCUUAGAUAUCACGCAGAACACCAAUUGCGAAGGCAGAUGCCUAUGUCGUAACUGACGCUGAGGCACGAAAGCGUGGGGAGCAAACAGG